RNAcentral lists this ribosomal RNA (448 nucleotides) under uncultured bacterium. RNAcentral describes it as "bacterial SSU rRNA". It matches the Rfam family "Bacterial small subunit ribosomal RNA", at positions 329 to 793 of the family's 1533-position model. The record is from RNAcentral.
UUCCAGACUCCUACGGGAGGCAGCAGUGGGGAAUAUUGCACAAUGGGGGGAACCCUGAUGCAGCGACGCCGCGUGGGUGAAGGAGCACCUCGGUGCGUAAAGCCCUAUCGGCAGGGAAGAAGGAGGACGGUACCUGACUAAGAAGCCCCGGCUAACUACGUGCCAGCAGCCGCGGUAAUACGGAGGGGGCAAGCGUUAUCCGGAUUUACUGGGUGUAAAGGGGGCGCAGACGGCAGCGCAAGCCAGGAGUGAAAGCCCGGGGCCCAACCCCGGGACUGCUCUUGGAACUGCGCGGCUGGAGUGCAGGAGGGGCAGGCGGAAUUCCUGGUGUAGCGGUGAAAUGCGUAGAUAUCAGGAGGAACACCGGUGGCGAAGGCGGCCUGCUGGACUGCGACUGACGUUGAGGCCCGAAAGCGUGGGGAGCAAACAGGAUUAGAUACCCGCGUAA